Molecule: ribosomal RNA, 532 nt
Filed under: uncultured Peptostreptococcaceae bacterium
Lineage: Bacteria; Bacillati; Bacillota; Clostridia; Peptostreptococcales; Peptostreptococcaceae
Description: bacterial SSU rRNA
Rfam family: Bacterial small subunit ribosomal RNA
Source: RNAcentral
AGCGGCGGACGGGUGAGUAACGCGUGGGUAACCUGCCCUAUACACAUGGAUAACAUACUGAAAAGUUUACUAAUACAUGAUAAUAUAUAUUUGCGGCAUCGCAGAUAUAUCAAAGUGUUAGCGGUAUAGGAUGGACCCGCGUCUGAUUAGCUAGUUGGUGAGAUAACUGCCCACCAAGGCGACGAUCAGUAGCCGACCUGAGAGGGUGAUCGGCCACAUUGGAACUGAGACACGGUCCAAACUCCUACGGGAGGCAGCAGUGGGGAAUAUUGCACAAUGGGCGAAAGCCUGAUGCAGCAACGCCGCGUGAACGAUGAAGGUCUUCGGAUCGUAAAGUUCUGUUGCAGGGGAAGAUAAUGACGGUACCCUGUGAGGAAGCCCCGGCUAACUACGUGCCAGCAGCCGCGGUAAUACGUANGGGGCUAGCGUUAUCCGGAUUUACUGGGCGUAAAGGGUGCGUANGUGGUCCUUCAAGUCGGUGGUUAAAGGCUACGGCUCAACCGUAGUAAGCCGCCGAAACUGGAGGACUUGA